AUUGCCCUAGUAACGGCGAGUGAAGCGGCAACAGCUCAAAUUUGAAAUCUGGCCUUCGGGUCCGAGUUGUAAUUUGUAGAGGAUGCUUUUGGUGAGGUGCCUUCCGAGUUCCCUGGAACGGGACGCCAUAGAGGGUGAGAGCCCCGUCUGGUUGGACACCGAUCCUCUGUAAAGCUCCUUCAACGAGUCGAGUAGUUUGGGAAUGCUGCUCUAAAUGGGAGGUAUAUGUCUUCUAAAGCUAAAUAUUGGCCAGAGACCGAUAGCGCACAAGUAGAGUGAUCGAAAGAUGAAAAGCACUUUGAAAAGAGAGUUAAAAAGUACGUGAAAUUGUUGAAAGGGAAGCGCUCAUGACCAGACUUGGGCUUGGUUGAUCAUCCAGGGUUCUCCCUGGUGCACUCUUCCAGUUCAGGCCAGCAUCAGUUCGCUGCGGGGGAUAAAGGCUUUGGGAAUGUGGCUCCCUCGGGAGUGUUAUAGCCCAUUGUGUAAUACCCUGUGGUGGACUGAGGACCGCGCUUCGGCAAGGAUGCUGGCGUAAUGGUCAUCAGUGACCCGUCUUGAAACACGGACCAAGGAGUCGUCUUCGUAUGCGAGUGUUCGGGUGUUAAACCCCUACGCGUAAUGAAAGUGAACGCAGGUGAGAGCUUCGGCGCAUCAUCGACCGAUCCUGAUGUUCUCGGAUGGAUUUGAGUAAGAGCAUACGGGGCCGGACCCGAAAGAAGGUGAACUAUGCCUGUAUAGGGUGAAGCCAGAGGAAACUCUGGUGGAGGCUCGCAGCGGUUCUGACGUGCAAAUCGAUCGUCAAAUAUGGGCAUGGGGGCGAAAGACUAAU
This 829-nucleotide ribosomal RNA is filed under the name Dactylonectria ecuadoriensis. Its description in RNAcentral is "LSU rRNA". It matches the Rfam family "Eukaryotic large subunit ribosomal RNA", at positions 74 to 935 of the family's 3401-position model. The record is from RNAcentral. Lineage: Eukaryota; Fungi; Ascomycota; Sordariomycetes; Hypocreales; Nectriaceae.